UAUAUUGAAGCUUGAACACAACAAGAACAAUAUUUUGGCGCUGCUACCGGGGAAAUGAUAACAAUAUGAAAUGUUAGAAAUUGAUUGUAUGAGAGAUGGAAUUAUAUGUUGAAUAGGAAUGUGAAAAGAACCAGUUUUAGAGUUACAAAUAUGUGAGUUAUAAUUCAAGGCAGUAUUGAUUUUGUAAAGAAGAAUGAAAGAUUAUAAGUGAUAAUCAUAAAAGAGAGGAUUAUCAAAGAAUUAAUCGACAAGCAAAAGAGAGAUCGGA
Molecule: long non-coding RNA, 268 nt
Filed under: Physcomitrium patens
Lineage: Eukaryota; Viridiplantae; Streptophyta; Bryopsida; Funariales; Funariaceae
Description: long non-coding RNA (PPAT_LNC014306)
Source: RNAcentral